UUCUGCCGCCGUCAGCGCAAAGUGACUGUCGCUGCACUCACCUUUUCUAGGACAUGGUGGGGAGGCUGGGGCGGAGGGAGAGGGGCAGCGAGACUCCCGCCGCCGCCACUGCUGCCGCCACUAGCAAGUCCAAUAUUAGCUGGCCGGCUGUGAGGAUGGAGAGGAUGAUAAUCCCGGCAGUCACCCUACUGACGGCCAGUUCCCAGCUUUGUGGAAGAAGGAUAAAGAGCAGAGGGGAAGAAGAGAGCACUAGAAUGGUUCUCUGCAGCCAUUUAAAUUCUUCUGGUGAUCCGACUCCUGCAUCAGAGGGCUUCAUUUGAUUUCUCCAACCUCGUUUCCUUCUACCCAACAUGACUGUCUUCCAGGAACGCCACAGUCAGCGUUUCUAUUCUUUCCUGAAGCCCAUUUUUCACCGUUUACCUUGAACUUCUG
This 432-nucleotide long non-coding RNA is filed under the name Urocitellus parryii (Arctic ground squirrel). Its description in RNAcentral is "lncRNA (ENSUPAG00010021966.1)". Lineage: Eukaryota; Metazoa; Chordata; Mammalia; Rodentia; Sciuridae. The record is from RNAcentral.